This 464-nucleotide long non-coding RNA is filed under the name Setaria viridis. RNAcentral's name for it is "long non-coding RNA (SVIR_LNC011476)". Lineage: Eukaryota; Viridiplantae; Streptophyta; Magnoliopsida; Poales; Poaceae. The record is from RNAcentral.
ACAACAUUGCUAACCCUAAAACCAUCAACCAGCUUCGACCCAAAGCUCCCGGCACGCCACCAGACAGGGGAGGCGGAGCUCAGCCGCCGAAGCCGUAGAGGGUGCGGCCCUGGCGCUUGAGCGCGUAGACGACGUCCAUGGCGGUGACGGUCUUGCGGCGGGCGUGCUCCGUGUAGGUGACGGCGUCACGGAUGACGUUCUCGAGAAAGAUCUUGAGCACGCCGCGGGUCUCCUCGUAGAUCAGCCCGGAGAUGCGCUUCACGCCGCCCCUGCGCGCCAGCCUCCGGAUCGCCGGCUUGGUGAUUCCCUGGAUGUUGUCGCGGAGGACCUUGCGGUGCCGCUUCGCGCCGCCCUUGCCCAGACCCUUGCCUCCCUUGCCGCGGCCCGACAUGGCUUCCCUCGGAGGCGGUGAGCUCGAACUCGAGAGGAUUGGUGGUGAUUUGGGGGAUUGGGGAUUCGUUGGU